RNAcentral lists this ribosomal RNA (176 nucleotides) under uncultured bacterium. Its description in RNAcentral is "partial 16S ribosomal RNA". It matches the Rfam family "Bacterial small subunit ribosomal RNA", at positions 335 to 526 of the family's 1533-position model. The record is from RNAcentral.
ACUCCUACGGGAGGCAGCAGUGAGGAAUUUUCCGCAAUGGGCUAACGCCUGACGGAGCAAUGCCGCGUGGAGGAGGAAGGCCUGUGGGUCGUAAACUCCUUUUCUCAGAGAAGAAGAUCUGACGGUAUCUGAGGAAUAAGCAUCGGCUAACUCUGUGCCAGCAGCCGCGGUAAUAC